Molecule: long non-coding RNA, 871 nt
Organism: Naja naja (Indian cobra)
Lineage: Eukaryota; Metazoa; Chordata; Lepidosauria; Squamata; Elapidae
Source: Ensembl
CUCUAAUGGAAAUUCCCAAAACCCGAGGUGCGGGAGGCGAGGGGUGGUGAGUCGCAAGGAGGGCAGCUCCAAAGGGAUUCUGCCAGGCGGGAGAAACGCAGCGGUCCCAUUUGGAGAACCAAAUGGAAGAAGUCCAGCGAAGGCCAGGAAGCUGAAGGGCAGGUUUGCCUGGUUGUGUGUCUGUCUGGGUGUCUGUCUGGGUGUGUGGGUGUGUGGGUGUGAGGGGGGGUGUUUUUCAUGGGUCCCGGCUAUUCCCAACAAUGCGGUAGCUGUAUGGAAAUAGCCAGGAAUGCGUGCCAACUGAGGAUGAUGCUUCCUCUCCGCUUCUCAACUUCCCGGGCAGAAGAGGCUGCAGAAGACUCGGAGGACCAAGGCUGCAGACCGUGGGGUUCAUCUCUCCUGACAUGCUGGCGUGGGUCUCCGUCGCGCUCCUGGCCCUUUCCCCCCUCUGUUGGACUCCCCCCUCUGUGGUGGGACGCUCCCUUUCAGGGACACCCGCCCAGGAGAUGCUCGGGGACCCCAGAGCCAACUGGACCACAGCUCUGCCCCAGUUGGCCUCGCCUCUGGUUUCCACAGCCGGGGCCAGAGAAGAAAAGGAUCCGGGCCCCACGGAGCCCCCCAAAAUCUCAACAACUCUUGCCAGGGCUCAAGAGGCUCCAGAGGGGCCACUCCCGUCCACCAGCAGCUCCACCACUGAGACCCCAAGGGACAACAAAGCUCCGAAAAAGCCCGUCCAGGUGAAAAUAGUCAAGAAAAAGAUUUUGAAGAAAAAGACCAAAAAGCUGCUAAAUCCGGAAACGGCCUCCCAAGAGGCAUCAGGUAGGUCCUUUUGGUCCCCUUUUGUCCUUCCUCCUCAGCCGGGAUGUUAUGC